ACUGCAGUUCGUGAGGUCUCUUUUUCUCAGCAUAACUAGUUCUCUUUGCUGAACAAAUAAUUUUGUUCUUAAGAAAACUGAAAGGCAAACCAAACAAUGACAAACAAAAAGAAAGAUUCUGUCUACACAGGGAGCCUAACUCAUCUUGGAAGAGGAGAUUGGGCCAUUUAAGUGGAUCUAAAAGUUUAGUAUGGUUUCUAACAUAUGAUAUUUAGAUGGCUUUGACAGGUUGAAGAG
RNAcentral lists this unclassified non-coding RNA (237 nucleotides) under Hevea brasiliensis (rubber tree). Lineage: Eukaryota; Viridiplantae; Streptophyta; Magnoliopsida; Malpighiales; Euphorbiaceae. The record is from RNAcentral.